This 219-nucleotide long non-coding RNA is filed under the name Elaeis guineensis (African oil palm). RNAcentral describes it as "long non-coding RNA (EGUI_LNC023906)". The record is from RNAcentral. Lineage: Eukaryota; Viridiplantae; Streptophyta; Magnoliopsida; Arecales; Arecaceae.
CUUAAUCUGAAAGCUAAAAACAAAAAGGCGAAGGAGGAUCUUCUGGCAUUGGGAUGAUCUUACGACAGAGUUUCUGCAGCAGAGAUGAAGAUAAAAUGCAAAGUAAAGGCUUGAUUGAAAGUGAUCCUAUAUAUAUAGGAUCCCUCAACGACCAAGAUGAAAGAGAUCAAAUCAAAGUCUUAUCAAAUGAUGACACAUGGCAAUAUCCAAACCAAUCAU